ACGGCCAAAUCAUGUUGAAACACCGGUUUUCGUACGAUCACCGAAGUUAAGCAGUAUUGAACUUGGUCAGCACAUAUAUGGGUGACCACUUAGGAAUACCAAGUGCUGUAAU
Molecule: non-coding RNA, 112 nt
Organism: Acanthosepion pharaonis
Lineage: Eukaryota; Metazoa; Mollusca; Cephalopoda; Sepiida; Sepiidae
Source: the annotation of a GenBank genome assembly